CCUACGGGAGGCAGCAGUGGGGAAUAUUGCACAAUGGGGGAAACCCUGAUGCAGCGACGCCGCGUGAGUGAAGAAGUAUUUCGGUAUGUAAAGCUCUAUCAGCAGGGAAGAAAAUGACGGUACCUGAUUAAGAAGCCCCGGCUAACGACGUGCCAGCAGCCGCGGUAAUACGUAGGGGGCAAGCGUUAUCCGGAUUUACUGGGUGGAAAGGGAGCGUAGACGGCAGCACAAGUCGGGAGUGAAAUGCCGGGGCUUAACCCCGGAACUGCUUUGGAAACUGUACAGCUAGAGUGCAGGAGAGGUAAGUGGAAUUCCUCGUGUAGCGGUGAACUGCGUAGAUAUUAGGAGGACCCCCAGUGGCGAAGGCGGCUUACUGGACUGUACCUGACGUUGCGGCUCGAACGCGUGGGGAGCAAACAGGAUUAGAUACCCGUGUAGUC
Molecule: ribosomal RNA, 440 nt
Filed under: uncultured bacterium
Lineage: Bacteria
Description: partial 16S ribosomal RNA
Rfam family: Bacterial small subunit ribosomal RNA
Source: RNAcentral